UGAGAGGUACCAUCAACGGCAAUGCAUUCGGCUGUAACCCGAAAGUCGUGGUUUACACGUGGGGGUUCGACUCCUCCCCUCGCAACCA
Molecule: transfer RNA, 88 nt
Filed under: Deltaproteobacteria bacterium
Lineage: Bacteria; Pseudomonadati; Myxococcota; Myxococcia
Description: tRNA-Tyr
Rfam family: tRNA
About the family: Transfer RNA (tRNA) molecules are approximately 80 nucleotides in length. Their secondary structure includes four short double-helical elements and three loops (D, anti-codon, and T loops).
Source: RNAcentral